GCGAGGAUGGCGGAAUUGGUAGACGCGCUAGACUUAGGAUCUAGUAUCGAAAGAUGUGAGGGUUCAAGUCCCUUUCCUCGCACCA
RNAcentral lists this transfer RNA (85 nucleotides) under Deinococcus roseus. Its description in RNAcentral is "tRNA-Leu". It matches the Rfam family "tRNA". From Rfam's summary of the family: Transfer RNA (tRNA) molecules are approximately 80 nucleotides in length. Their secondary structure includes four short double-helical elements and three loops (D, anti-codon, and T loops). RNAcentral also lists the same sequence under 4 other names. The record is from RNAcentral. Lineage: Bacteria; Thermotogati; Deinococcota; Deinococci; Deinococcales; Deinococcaceae.